GACGAACGCUGGCGGCGUGCUUAACACAUGCAAGUCGAACGGAAAGGCCCUGCUUUUGUGGGGUGCUCGAGUGGCGAACGGGUGAGUAACACGUGAGUAACCUGCUCUUGACUUUGGGAUAACUUCAGGAAAAUGGGGCUAAUAUCGGAUAGGAGCCCCUGUUGCAUGGUGGGGGUUGGAAAGUUUCGGCGGUUGGGGAUGGACUCGCGGCUUAUCAGUUUGUUGGUGGGGUAGUGGCUUACCAAGGCGUUGACGGGUAGCCGGCCUGAGAGGGUGACCGGCCACAUUGGGACUGAGAGACGGCCCAGACGCCUACGGGAGGCAGCAGUGGGAAAUAUUGCACAAUGGGCGGAAGCCUGAUACGGCAACGCCGCGUGCGGAAUGACGGCCUUCGGGUUGUAAACCGCUUUCGCCUGUGGCGAAGCGUGAGUGACGGUAAUGGGUAAAGAAGCACCGGCUAACUACGUG
This 468-nucleotide ribosomal RNA is filed under the name uncultured bacterium. RNAcentral describes it as "partial 16S ribosomal RNA". It matches the Rfam family "Bacterial small subunit ribosomal RNA", at positions 28 to 507 of the family's 1533-position model. The record is from RNAcentral.